RNAcentral lists this ribosomal RNA (303 nucleotides) under uncultured bacterium. RNAcentral describes it as "partial 16S ribosomal RNA". It matches the Rfam family "Bacterial small subunit ribosomal RNA", at positions 507 to 807 of the family's 1533-position model. The record is from RNAcentral.
AGCAGUAGCCGCGGGAAUACGAAGGGUGCAAGCGUUAAUCGGAAUUACUGGGCGUAAAGCGUGCGUAGGCGGUUUGUUAAGUCUGUUGUGAAAUCCCCGGGCUCAACCUGGGAAUGGCAAUGGAUACUGGCAAGCUAGAGUGUGUCAGAGGAUGGUGGAAUUCCCGGUGUAGCGGUGAAAUGCGUAGAGAUCGGGAGGGACAUCAGUGGCGAAGGCGGCCAUCUGGGACAACACUGACGCUGAGGCACGAAAGCGUGGGGAGCAAACAGGAUUAGAGACCCCCGUAGUCCCUGUCUCUUAUAC